AUGGGAAAUCCAUAUGUGGCUCUUUCUCUCGAGAUAUACCACACAUGGUUGGAGCAAGUUCACACAGUGCAUGCAGUAUUCGAGCUGUCAAUAUUCAACCAUUCAAAAGGAGUUUAUUGUGGAUGCAAAGCUAGCUACAACUUUGAUGUCAAGAAUACCUACUCGAAGCCGCAUUGCUUGAUUCCUCUUCAGGAGCUACUGAAAUCAUCUGCUUUUCUAGUUGAUGAUAGCUGUGUCUUUGGUGUGGAGAUAUUAAAAAUCGAUGUCUCUUCUCCUGAAAAGAAGGAUGUUGUGGUUCAGAAGAAGGCUACUACAGUUCAGAAUCUCUUUAUCCAGAAGAAAGGGUUCAUUAAAGGGACAUACACUUGGACCAUGGAUAAUUUCCUUGAAUUGGACUUGAAGCACUUCGUCCGUUCUCCUACAUUUGAAGUUGGCGGACUUAAAUGGUACAUCCGUAUGUAUCCACGUGGUGACAAGUACAGCAAUGAUUGCCUCAGCUUGUACUUAUCCCUGGAUGACUCGGUUGAGCUCCCUUUGGAGUAUGGGAAGGUGGUUGAAUUGACACUAUCCAUCGUGGACCAAAAGAAUGUGAAACACCGGACUGCAACUUCAGGUCUCUGGGUAUGUGGACAGGGACAUAAAUUGGUAUGUGUACAGGGAAUGGGAUCGUCUAACUUCUUUGGACUGAAGGAACUCAAGGACCCGUUGGGAGGCUAUGUUGUGGGAUCGAGCUGCAUUGUGAAGGCAGAUCUCACCAUCGUCGGUUCAUCCAAUGAUGACUAG
RNAcentral lists this ribosomal RNA (783 nucleotides) under Triticum aestivum (bread wheat). RNAcentral describes it as "partial small subunit ribosomal RNA". The record is from RNAcentral. Lineage: Eukaryota; Viridiplantae; Streptophyta; Magnoliopsida; Poales; Poaceae.